AUGUGGGCGUGCCGGUCGUUUCUCCGUCGACCCAACCGUCACGACGCAAACCAGAGGACGGCUCAUGGCACGAACCAUCUGACUGCAUCACCACGGAGGCACGUCUCGGACGCCGCCAACAGGGAUCCGCAUCACCCGGCGGCGGCGGCGGCGGCGACGACGAAGAGGCAUCUGUACGUGGUGCUGGAUGACCACAAGCACGAGUACGGCAUCUACAAGCUGGACGUAGGCGGCGAUCUGGACGGCGACCACGAUCCUGACUCUGCCCGCCGUCUUCCUGAUCCCGCGGUCAUCCGCGUGGAGGUGCCAACCGCCGUAGAAGAUCUAGCCGCGCGGUUUGCCGCCCUGGGAAGCUGCAUCAUCACCACCGGCUCCAGCCCAAACACUUACGGCCCAAGGGAAGAGCACUACGGCGUCACCUUGGUCUACGACACCCAGACGGCGGCGCUCUCGGUCGCGUGCAACGUCCCGAAAGGCCUGCGCGACGGCUUUUCGCGAGGCCGCCGCGCCGGCUAUGACGGCGAGCUGGACGCCUGGGUGGGGCUCCACCGCAAGGGCUACGACACGGACGGGCACCUCUGUGUCUGCCGCGUUCCGGUUCCGACGAGCGACCUCGACCGGACCCCGCAACCGCAGUGGAAGGUCGGCGGGGAGAAGGUGCUCCUCGAGCACAAGGACUGGAGGCACGUCGACGCCAAGCUCGUGCACAUGGUGGAGCGCGGCGAGCACUGCCUCGUCGAGCGCCUGCGACGCGAGGGGACGGACGAGACGGAGUGCCUGCCCGACGGCGACGAGUGCCUGCUCCGACUGACCACGUUUCAAGUCAAGUACGGCGACGACGGGGAGCUCAUCACGACCGCGGACCGUGCGUACGCCCGCUCUUACAAGAUGUCGAGGUACCGCGAUGAUUUCGAGGUUGCGGCGUUCUGGAUAUGA
Molecule: ribosomal RNA, 936 nt
Filed under: Triticum aestivum (bread wheat)
Lineage: Eukaryota; Viridiplantae; Streptophyta; Magnoliopsida; Poales; Poaceae
Description: partial small subunit ribosomal RNA
Source: RNAcentral